GAUGAACGCUGGCGGCGUGCCUAAUACAUGCAAGUCGAGCGAACGGACGAGAAGCUUGCUUCUCUGAUGUUAGCGGCGGACGGGUGAGUAACACGUGGAUAACCUACCUAUAAGACUGGGAUAACUUCGGGAAACCGGAGCUAAUACCGGAUAAUAUUUUGAACCGCAUGGUUCAAAAGUGAAAGACGGUCUUGCUGUCACUUAUAGAUGGAUCCGCGCUGCAUUAGCUAGUUGGUAAGGUAACGGCUUACCAAGGCAACGAUGCAUAGCCGACCUGAGAGGGUGAUCGGCCACACUGGAACUGAGACACGGUCCAGACUCCUACGGGAGGCAGCAGUAGGGAAUCUUCCGCAAUGGGCGAAAGCCUGACGGAGCAACGCCGCGUGAGUGAUGAAGGUCUUCGGAUCGUAAAACUCUGUUAUUAGGGAGGAACAUAUGUGUAAGUAACUGUGCACAUCUUGACGGUACCUAAUCAGAAAGCCACGGCUAACUACGCG
Molecule: ribosomal RNA, 497 nt
Filed under: uncultured bacterium
Lineage: Bacteria
Description: partial 16S ribosomal RNA
Rfam family: Bacterial small subunit ribosomal RNA
Source: RNAcentral